RNAcentral lists this ribosomal RNA (265 nucleotides) under uncultured archaeon. Its description in RNAcentral is "partial 16S ribosomal RNA". It matches the Rfam family "Archaeal small subunit ribosomal RNA", at positions 717 to 982 of the family's 1478-position model. The record is from RNAcentral.
ACACGUCUACAUUAGAUACCCCCGUAGUCCCAGCCGUAAACUAUGCGCGUUAGGUGUAUCGGUGACCACGAGUCACCGAGGUGCCGAAGGGAAACCGUGAAACGUGCCGCCUGGGAAGUACGGUCGCAAGGCUGAAACUUAAAGGAAUUGGCGGGGGAGCACCACAACAGGUGGAGCCUGCGGUUUAAUUGGACUCAACGCCGGGAAGCUCACCGGAUAGGACAGCAGAAUGAUUGCCGGGCUGAAGACUCUGCAUGACUAGCUG